RNAcentral lists this ribosomal RNA (446 nucleotides) under uncultured bacterium. RNAcentral describes it as "partial 16S ribosomal RNA". It matches the Rfam family "Bacterial small subunit ribosomal RNA", at positions 338 to 795 of the family's 1533-position model. The record is from RNAcentral.
CCUACGGGUGACAGCAGUCGAGAAUCAUUCACAAUGGGGGAAACCCUGAUGGUGCGACGCCGCGUGGGGGAAUGAAGGUCUUCGGAUUGUAAACCCCUGUCAUGUGGGAGCAAAUUAAAAAGAUCGUACCACAAGAGGCAGAGACGGCUAACUCUGUUCCAGCAGCCGCGGUAAUACAGAGGUCUCAAGCGUUGUUCGGAAUCACUGGGCGUAAAGCGUGCGUAGGCUGUUUCGUAAGUCGUGUGUGAAAGGCGCGGGCUCAACCCGCGGACGGCACAUGAUACUGCGAGACUAGAGUAAGGGAGGGGGAACCGGAAUUCUCGGUGUAGCAGUGAAAUGCGUAGAUAUCGAGAGGAACACUCGUGGCGAAGGCGGGUUCCUGGACAGUAACUGACGCUGAGGCACGAAGGCCAGGGGAGCGAAAGGGAUUAGAUACCCCAGUAGUC